GAUGAACGCUGGCGGCGUGCCUAAUACAUGCAAGUCGAGCGAACAGACGAGGAGCUUGCUCCUCUGACGUUAGCGGCGGACGGGUGAGUAACACGUGGAUAACCUACCUAUAAGACUGGGAUAACUUCGGGAAACCGGAGCUAAUACCGGAUAAUAUAUUGAACCGCAUGGUUCAAUAGUGAAAGACGGUUUUGCUGUCACUUAUAGAUGGAUCCGCGCCGCAUUAGCUAGUUGGUAAGGUAACGGCUUACCAAGGCAACGAUGCGUAGCAGACCUGAGAGGGUGAUCGGCCACAAUGGAACUGAGACACGGUCAAGACUCAUACGGGAGGCAGCAGUAGGGAAUCUUCCGCAAUGGGCGAAAGCCUGACGGAGCAACGCCGCGUGAGUGAUGAAGGUCUUCGGAUCGUAAAACUCUGUUAUUAGGGAAGAACAAAUGUGUAAGUAACUAUGCACGUCUUGACGGUACCUAAUCAGAAAGCCACGGCUAACUACGUG
This 497-nucleotide ribosomal RNA is filed under the name uncultured bacterium. RNAcentral's name for it is "partial 16S ribosomal RNA". It matches the Rfam family "Bacterial small subunit ribosomal RNA", at positions 28 to 507 of the family's 1533-position model. The record is from RNAcentral.